CCUACGGGAGGCAGCAGUGGGGAAUUUUCCGCAAUGGGCGAAAGCCUGACGGAGUGACGCCGCGUGGGGGACGAAGGCCUUCGGGUCGUAAACCCCUGUCAGAGGGAAAGAAGGGUGUCGGCGUGAAUAGCGCCGGCAUCUGACGGUACCUUCAGAGGAAGCCCCGGCCAACUCUGUGCCAGCAGCCGCGGUAAGACAGAGGGGGCAAGCGUUGCUCGGAAUCACUGGGCGUAAAGGGCGCGUAGGCGGGAUGGCAAGUCGGUCGUGAAAUCCUUCGGCUCAACCGAAGAACGUCGGCCGAUACUGCCGUUCUUGAGGGAUGCAGAGGAGAUUGGAAUUCCCGGUGUAGCGGUGAAAUGUGUAGAGAUCGGGAGGAACACCGGUGGCGAAGGCGGGUCUCUGGGCAUCUCCUGACGCUGAGGCGCGAAAGCGUGGGGAGCAAACGGGAUUAGAUACCCCGGUAGUCCACGCUGUAAACGAUGACGACUAGGUGUGGGGGGGGUUAGUCCUUUCCGUGCCGCAGCUAACGCAUUAAGUCGUCCGCCUGGGGAGUACGGCCGCAAGGUUGAAACUCAAAGGAAUUGACGG
RNAcentral lists this ribosomal RNA (588 nucleotides) under uncultured bacterium. Its description in RNAcentral is "bacterial SSU rRNA". It matches the Rfam family "Bacterial small subunit ribosomal RNA", at positions 338 to 916 of the family's 1533-position model. The record is from RNAcentral.